Molecule: non-coding RNA, 114 nt
Organism: Acanthosepion pharaonis
Lineage: Eukaryota; Metazoa; Mollusca; Cephalopoda; Sepiida; Sepiidae
Source: the annotation of a GenBank genome assembly
UUACGGCCACAUCAGACACAAACGACGGUUUCCAUACGAUCACCGAAGUUAAGCAACGUCGAGCCUGAUCAGAUACUAGAUAGGUAUCUGCAUGGGAAUACCAGGUGCUGUAAU